UGGGGAAUUUUGGACAAUGGGCGAAAGCCUGAUCCAGCAAUGCCGCGUGUGUGAAGAAGGCCUUCGGGUUGUAAAGCACUUUUGUCCGGAAAGAAAUCCUCUGGGUUAAUACCUCGGGGGGAUGACGGUACCGGAAGAAUAAGCACCGGCUAACUACGUGCCAGCAGCCGCGGUAAUACGUAGGGUGCAAGCGUUAAUCGGAAUUACUGGGCGUAAAGCGUGCGCAGGCGGUUUUGUAAGACGGAUGUGAAAUCCCCGGGCUUAACCUGGGAACUGCAUUCGUGACUGCAAGGCUAGAGUAUGGCAGAGGGGGGUAGAAUUCCACGUGUAGCAGUGAAAUGCGUAGAGAUGUGGAGGAAUACCGAUGGCGAAGGCAGCCCCCUGGGCCAAUACUGACGCUCAUGCACGAAAGCGUGGGGAGCAAACAGGAUUAGAUACCCUGGUAGUCCACGCCCUAAACGAUGUCAACUAGUUGUUGGGGAUUCAUUUCCUUAGUAACGUAGCUAACGCGUGAAGUUGGCCGCCUGGGGAGUACGGUCGCAAGAUUGAAAACUCAAAUGAAUUGACGGGG
Molecule: ribosomal RNA, 571 nt
Filed under: uncultured bacterium
Lineage: Bacteria
Description: partial 16S ribosomal RNA
Rfam family: Bacterial small subunit ribosomal RNA
Source: RNAcentral